This is a long non-coding RNA of Engraulis encrasicolus (European anchovy), 544 nucleotides long. RefSeq lists it as uncharacterized. NCBI's taxonomy places the organism in Eukaryota, Metazoa, Chordata, Actinopteri, Clupeiformes, Engraulidae. The record is from RefSeq and is a predicted model, not a curated record. The transcript has 4 exons.
CUGUCGGUACCUUACCUGUCGCUUCUGCCUUAUCUGUCGCUUUGGGGUCCUAGCUGCGUUGCCCUGGUAACAACUGUAAACAAAAGGCUGCGGUUAACUGCUCCGCUCCCUGACAGGAUUUUUCGUUCAUUCGUGCCAAUGAAACAGGAGGCCUCGAUUCAUGCAGAAGAUAAGGUUUGAAACCCAGACAGCACGAAGCAUCUUGCCGACGUCAAAAUCAGAUCAACAGACAGGGACAUCAGCCUUCUCUUGGGAAUAGGCCAGAUAUGCCAUAACAAGAAAUGGUGUUUUGCCCCUGCGGUUGUGAAGAGGAUGCUGUGGAGGUGGCAGCAUGAACGUGUCACACAGACAUUGGCUAAACAACUCGAUGACAUUUCCAGCAUGUCCAACUCAUCAGCAUCAGGGGAGAUUCGGUGAAGGUGGUGCACCAUCCAGGACCAGUCAUGGGUCACCAACACCUCUGCAAAAUCUACACUUCUUGUGAACCCUGUAGAAGACACUACAACCACAAAACUGCUAAUAAACCAUCACAUACUGCAUCACA